GCGGAGGAAAAGAAACUAACAAGGAUUGCCUCAGUAAGGGCGACUGAAGUGGCAAUAGCUCCCAAUGUGAAUCUGUUUCAGAAUUGUGGUUUCACCUGUGUCAGGGGCUAGGCCAAGUCCGUUGGAACACGGCAGCUGAGAGGGUGAGACUCCCGUUUGCCUGGCCCUUCAAACAGGUGUGUUUGAGUCGAGUUGUUUGGGAUUGCAGCUCUAAGACGGUGGUAAAUUCCAUCUAAAGCUGAAUAUUGGUGGGAGACCGAUAGCGUACAAGUACCGUGAGGGAAAGAUGCAAAGAAGCGCGAAAGCGCUGUUAAAGAGUACCUGAACUUGCUGAAACGGAAGCAAAGGAAACCAGUGCAAGCUUCGUCAUACUUCCCUGUCUGCUUGCAGUUGGGGCGCUGUGGCCAGCCUUGUCAGGCUUGAUUUGAGGCUAUGGAAGGGCAUGGAAAGAGUUGAUUUUCAUUGC
This 466-nucleotide ribosomal RNA is filed under the name Halamphora crenulatoides. RNAcentral's name for it is "eukaryotic LSU rRNA". It matches the Rfam family "Eukaryotic large subunit ribosomal RNA", at positions 50 to 549 of the family's 3401-position model. The record is from RNAcentral. Lineage: Eukaryota; Bacillariophyta; Bacillariophyceae; Naviculales; Amphipleuraceae.